This 73-nucleotide transfer RNA is filed under the name Markhamia cauda-felina. Its description in RNAcentral is "tRNA-Gly". Lineage: Eukaryota; Viridiplantae; Streptophyta; Magnoliopsida; Lamiales; Bignoniaceae. The record is from RNAcentral.
UUACUCUGCAACCUUUGCCAAACCAAAUAUUGGAAGUCGAUGAAACCCCGUGUUUUGGCAUAGAUAUAAUAUC